This 374-nucleotide ribosomal RNA is filed under the name uncultured bacterium. RNAcentral describes it as "bacterial SSU rRNA". It matches the Rfam family "Bacterial small subunit ribosomal RNA", at positions 28 to 384 of the family's 1533-position model. The record is from RNAcentral.
GAUGAACGCUGGCGGCGUGCUUAACACAUGCAAGUCGAGCGAAGCGCUUUGGUUAGAUUCUUCGGAUGAAGACCUUUGUGACUGAGCCGCGGACGGGUGAGUAACGCGUGGGUAACCUGCCUCAUACAGGGGGAUAACAGUUAGAAAUGACUGCUAAUACCGCAUAAGACCACAGUACCGCAUGGUACAGGGGUAAAAACUCCGGUGGUAUGAGAUGGACCCGCGUUGGAUUAGCUAGUUGGCAGGGCAAUGGCCUACCAAGGCGACGAUCCAUAGCCGGCCUGAGAGGGUGAACGGGCCACAUUGGGACUGAGACACGGCCCAGACUCCUACGGGAGCAGCAGUGGGGAAUAUUGCACAAUGGGGGAAACCCU